UAAGUACCCCCUCCGUCCCAAAAUUCUUAUCUUAGAUUUGUUUAAAAAUAGAUGUGUUAAAAUACUAAAAUAUGACUAGAUAUAUUCAUAUUUAAACAAAUAUAGGAUAAACAUUUUGGGACAGAGGAAAUAGUUG
This is a non-coding RNA of Hordeum vulgare subsp. vulgare (domesticated barley), 136 nucleotides long. Lineage: Eukaryota; Viridiplantae; Streptophyta; Magnoliopsida; Poales; Poaceae. The record is from Rfam.